UCAUCCAUUUCGUAAACUAGCAUACGGUGAAAUGGAAAUCGUCGUACUGACGCUCUUCCUUUUUUCAAAUCAUCUAUCUAUUGCUUUUAACCCUUUCAUGUCCAAAGUUUUUCUAGUGCAUGCAGGGUUUCAAAACUAUUUUUCCUUGAAAACAGUGAGGUUAAGAAACACGAAAUCUUUUUUCAUAAAGAUAGGAGCUUCCCUCGCAGCGCUAGAAGCUGCUCAAUUUCUACCUUCUAAUGGUCAAUUCCCCUAGCAUAUUCGAUUUGAAACAGAUUUUGCUUAGUGACCGCACCCCACAACCCAUAACUCUGGAAUCGGAAAUCGGAUCGAGAUGAAAUUUAAUAGCCAUUUACGGGGAUAAAACACCUUUCAUUUUAGACCAAGUUUGGUCGAAUCUUCGGGAAACAAAUGAGACUGUAAUUCUGAAUUUGGAUACUUCCGCCGGGGCUUCCGGAACCGACGAUGGUGGCCAAUGUGUCCAAAGAGACUUUUAAUGGCUGUUAGUGACCUAGUACUACAAAUCUAAGUAGAUGUGGCACCAUUUUGAAAAAGUUUUCACCUUUAUACAUUCAUUACAGAAUUUUGAAAAUCGACAUUGUCUGGCUAAUCGUACUCUUCACUCUGCAAUUCCGGAACCGGAAGUCGGAUCCAUUAUAAAUUCAAUAGCAGCCUAUAGGAAUGUUGUACCUUUCAUUUGAGACUAAGUUUAUGAAAAUCGGUUCACCCAUCUCUGAGAAAAGUGAGUGAGAUUGCGGUCACAUACACACACAGAAUUGACGGAUUGUAUCGAAUGGUAUAUGUCACUCGGGCCUCCGGGUCUCCGUUUAAAAGACGGUUUUCAGAGCAGUUUUCUAUUGAGAAAGGCAAAACGUAAGUCGUAUGAAUAAGUUGUAGCAAAUAGUGGCACAUUUUACACUUUUAUAAUUAGUGGCUCAUGUCCCUUCAGAUUUGACCGCACUUACCACUUGAUGACGUCCCAGUUUGAUAUUUCUUUUGAGUGUUUUGAGAAAACUGAGAAAACGAAAAUCGUCAACGCAGGCCUGGAUACGGUUAAUGAAAUAUAAACAAAUUUUGGUAUCCUCGCAUCGUUGUCCGGAGCAGUUGGAUAUCAUUGUCAUCAAUAACCCCAGGGUUGAAAAAUUGAUUCGGUUCUGUGACUUCGAAUCUAAAGACUAUGGCGUGUGGCAUCGAAGAAUUCAUUCCGUGCAUUUUAGGUCGUCUUGUUUCAAACACCUAUUAAAUCUAUCUAAAGGAUGAUGAUCGAGUUGCACUUUUUGUUGCCAACGAACGGAAAACAGCGACCAGCUGCUGCAUUUGCUCCACCACCCGUUUUUUCUAAGAGAUCAGAGAUGUGUAUUUUCGCUCUGCAGUUUGUUGCUUUUAGCUAAAUAGUUGAAGAAAUUUUUCUCUUCAAAAUAUUUGAUUAUUUCUGCUGCCUCUGCACUCCUUGCUGUCGUUCGAUUCCGUUCACGUAGCUUCGACGUGCUGCCUCGUUGGUAGCGAGCCGCGUGGCUUGUUUCGAUAUUCCACCUGUUGCUAUGGGCCUUGGUUGCGUUUAGAUGACCUCGCAUCUGCGUGGUGACUUCAGGAAACUAUUCAGUCAUGUCAAACUGAGGCUUCCAAUAGUCAACACCGGUGAAACAACGUCAUCUCGGUUAUUGACUUCAGAUACAUCGAGCAAUACGGAACAUUUGAACAAGACUGUAGCUUACCCGAGCUCCGAGCCACUACAAUUCCAUUUGACUUUAGUCAUACCGGCUGGAAUAUAAUAUAGAAUUUUGGCUGUCUAAGAGACAAGUAUUUUAAUUGUGCAUUCAUUUUUUUUUUUUGUUUUUUGGUGAUGAUUAAUUCAUUUCAAAUAUAUUUGUAGUUGGGACUGUGGCCACAUUUGCAAUUAUGGCGCCACUGACAUAUGAGCAAGCGUAUGGGGGAUAGACCACUAGUGAAUA
This is a long non-coding RNA of Topomyia yanbarensis, 1952 nucleotides long. RefSeq lists it as uncharacterized. NCBI's taxonomy places the organism in Eukaryota, Metazoa, Arthropoda, Insecta, Diptera, Culicidae. The transcript is spliced from 5 exons. The record is from RefSeq and is a predicted model, not a curated record.